Molecule: ribosomal RNA, 525 nt
Filed under: uncultured bacterium
Lineage: Bacteria
Description: bacterial SSU rRNA
Rfam family: Bacterial small subunit ribosomal RNA
Source: RNAcentral
UAGGGAAUCUUCCGCAAUGGACGAAAGUCUGACGGAGCAACGCCGCGUGAACGAYGAAGGCCUUCGGGUCGUAAAGUUCUGUUGUUAGGGAAGAACAAGUACCAGAGUAACUGCUGGUACCUUGACGGUACCUAACCAGAAAGCCACGGCUAACUACGUGCCAGCAGCCGCGGUAAUACGUAGGUGGCAAGCGUUGUCCGGAAUUAUUGGGCGUAAAGCGCGCGCAGGUGGUUCUUUAAGUCUGAUGUGAAAGCCCACGGCUCAACCGUGGAGGGUCAUUGGAAACUGGGGGACUUGAGUGCAGAAGAGGAAAGUGGAAUUCCAAGUGUAGCGGUGAAAUGCGUAGAGAUUUGGAGGAACACCAGUGGCGAAGGCGACUUUCUGGUCUGUAACUGACACUGAGGCGCGAAAGCGUGGGGAGCGAACAGGAUUAGAUACCCUGGUAGUCCACGCCGUAAACGAUGAGUGCUAAGUGUUAGAGGGUUUCCGCCCUUUAGUGCUGCAGCUAACGCAUAAGCACUCCGC